UACGGAGGGAGCUAGCGUUGUUCGGAAUUACUGGGCGUAAAGCGCGCGUAGGCGGCUUUGUAAGUUAGAGGUGAAAGCCCGGAGCUCAACUCCGGAUCUGCCUUUAAAACUGCAUCGCUUGAAUCCAGGAGAGGUGAGUGGAAUUCUGAGUGUAGAGGUGAAAUUCGUAGAUAUUCGGAAGAACACCAGUGGCGAAGGCGGCUCACUGGACUGGUAUUGACGCUGAGGUGCGAAAGCGUGGGGAGCAAACAGG
Molecule: ribosomal RNA, 253 nt
Filed under: uncultured bacterium
Lineage: Bacteria
Description: partial 16S ribosomal RNA
Rfam family: Bacterial small subunit ribosomal RNA
Source: RNAcentral